Molecule: transfer RNA, 77 nt
Filed under: Chloroflexota bacterium
Lineage: Bacteria; Bacillati; Chloroflexota
Description: Chloroflexi bacterium tRNA-Pro
Rfam family: tRNA
About the family: Transfer RNA (tRNA) molecules are approximately 80 nucleotides in length. Their secondary structure includes four short double-helical elements and three loops (D, anti-codon, and T loops). Further hydrogen bonds mediate the characteristic L-shaped molecular structure. tRNAs have two regions of fundamental functional importance: the anti-codon, which is responsible for specific mRNA codon recognition, and the 3' end, to which the tRNAs corresponding amino acid is attached (by aminoacyl-tRNA synthetases). tRNAs cope with the degeneracy of the genetic code in two manners: having more than one tRNA (with a specific anti-codon) for a particular amino acid; and 'wobble' base-pairing, i.e. permitting non-standard base-pairing at the 3rd anti-codon position.
Source: RNAcentral
CGGGGUGUGGCGCAGUCCGGUAGCGCGCACGGUUUGGGUCCGUGAGGUCCCCGGUUCGAGUCCGGGCACCCCGACUA